UAUAAGACUGGGAUAACUUCGGGAAACCGGGGCUAAUGCCGGAUAAUAUUUAGAACCGCAUGGCUCUAAAGUGAAAGAUGGUUUUACUAUCGCUUAUAGAUGGACCCGCGCCGUAUUAGCUAGUUGGUGGGGUAAUGGCUUACCAAGGCAACGAUACGUAGCCGACCUGAGAGGGUGAUCGGCCACACUGGAACUGAGACACGGUCCAGACUCCUACGGGAGGCAGCAGUAGGGAAUCUUCCGCAAUGGGCGAAAGCCUGACGGAGCAACGCCGCGUGAGUGAUGAAGGUCUUCGGAUCGUAAAACUCUGUUAUUAGGGAAGAACAAAUGUGUAAGUAACUGUGCACGUCUUGACGGUACCUAAUCAGAAAGCCACGGCUAACUACGUGCCAGCAGCCGCGGUAAUACGUAGGUGGCAAGCGUUAUCCGGAAUUAUUGGGCGUAAAGCGCGCGUAGGCGGUUUCUUAAGUCUGAUGUGAAAGCCCACGGCUCAACCGUGGAGGGUCAUUGGAAACUGGGAAACUUGAGUGCAGAAGAGGAAAGUGGAAUUCCAUGUGUAGCGGUGAAAUGCGCAGAGAUAUGGAGGAACACCAGUGGCGAAGGCGACUUUCUGGUCUGCAACUGACGCUGAUGUGCGAAAGCGUGGGGAUCAAACAGGAUUAGAUACCCUGGUAGUCCACGCCGUAAACGAUGAGUGCUAAGUGUUAGGGGUUUCCGCCCCUUAGUGCUGCAGCUAACGCAUUAAGCACUCCGCCUGGGGAGUACGACCGCAAGGUUGAAACUCAAG
Molecule: ribosomal RNA, 787 nt
Filed under: uncultured Staphylococcus sp.
Lineage: Bacteria; Bacillati; Bacillota; Bacilli; Caryophanales; Staphylococcaceae
Description: bacterial SSU rRNA
Rfam family: Bacterial small subunit ribosomal RNA
Source: RNAcentral